RNAcentral lists this ribosomal RNA (429 nucleotides) under uncultured bacterium. RNAcentral's name for it is "bacterial SSU rRNA". It matches the Rfam family "Bacterial small subunit ribosomal RNA", at positions 355 to 775 of the family's 1533-position model. The record is from RNAcentral.
UGGGGAAUCUUGCGCAAUGGGCGAAAGCCUGACGCAGCAACGCCGCGUGGAGGAUGAAGGCCCUUGGGUUGUAAACUCCUGUCGGCUGGGAAGAAAUCUUCCGGGGCUAAUACCUCCGGAGGUUGACUGUACCAGCAAAGGAAGCCCCGGCUAACUCUGUGCCAGCAGCCGCGGUAAUACAGAGGGGGCCAGCGUUAUUCGGAAUUAUUGGGCGUAAAGGGCGCGUAGGCGGCCAUGCGUGUCUUCCGUGAAAUCCCUCGGCUUAACUGAGGACGUGCGGAAGAAACUGCAAGGCUCGAGUCCGGGAGAGGGGGGUGGAAUUCCCAGUGUAGCGGUGAAAUGCGUAGAUAUUGGGAGGAACACCGGUGGCGAAGGCGGCCCCCUGGACCGGAACUGACGCUGAGGCGCGAAAGCGUGGGUAGCAAACGG